AAUUAUAUGAAUGUGGCCAAUGAGUAUACUACUGUUUAUCAUAAUGUUAAUAAUUAUGAUAAUAAUUAUGAUAAUAAUCAUGAUAAUUAUCAUGAUAAUUAUCAUGAUAAUAAGGAUAAGAACAUUAUUGAAGAAAACAAAUUUAUUCAGGAUAAUGUAGCUAUUAAAAGUGUAAAUCCACAACAAAAUAAAAAUAUAAACAAUACAAGAAAUAAAAGUAGUGAGAUACAUACAAAUGUAGAAGGAAAUAAAAAUACAAGAAAAAAUGUAAACACACGAGAGUAUACAAAUAUAAUUAAAAGUACUAGUGUAGGUAAAAACAGUAUAAAUACUAAAGCACAUGAUAAUUAUAUGAAUAAAAAAAUAAGUAAUACAGAUGAUCUAACAAAAAGUACAAAAAUAAAUGAAAUGAAUUUUAGUAAUCUAAAACAUGUUCAUAUAAACAAUGACGUGAUAAACUGUGACAAUAUAAGUAAUGACAAUUUGAACCAUCAUAAUAAUAUUACUGUGCAAGAUAUAAAAACAAAUAAAACAUAUGAAUCAAAAAAUAAAAAUACUAAUCAAACUGUUUAUUUAAAUGAUAAUUUUCAAAAGGUAUUAAACUCCCAAGAUAUUCAAAAAUAUUCUUCUAUCUUAGAAAAACAUUCAAAUUCUAUGAAAGUUGUUGUACUAAAUGGUAAUAAUAAAAAUUUUAACAUUAAUGACAAUAAUGAAAAAAAUGGUGUAAAUAAUAUGAUGAACGUUUUGAGACCCACAGUAAAUACAAAUUCCAAAAAUGUAAACGAAAAAGAUAUGAACAAGUCAUAUAAUUUUGAUCAAGAAAAAGCAUUUAAUAUGAACCAAACAAAUACUAUUAGUAAUCAUCCUUUAAAUGUAGUAGGUAAUAAUGAAUCAAAAAAUAAUUAUACCGACAUAAUAGUCACACCAUUAAAUAUGCAUUUAGAACAACCAGUAAAAAAUGAUAUAUAUAAUACAGGUUUAAAAUUCGUAUAUCCAAAUAAUAAAAGUAUUAAUAAUGAAAUGUAUAUAGGAGACAAUAUAAAUGUUAGGUGUAAAGACAAAUAUAUGUCUUCUAUAAACCCUACUAGCAAUAGCUCUAAUAAUACGAAUAAAUAUAAUAGUAAGAAUAACUAUAGCAGUACGAAUAACUAUAGUAGUACGAAUAACUAUAGCAGUACGAACAGCUAUAGCAAUAUGAAUAACUAUAGUAAUAAUAAUGCUAAUAAAUUAUAUAACAAGUAUGUUAAUAAUGUUCCUAAUGUCGGGUAUAACGACACUGCCCUAAAUGGUACUACAAUGAACAAUCAAAAUAAUCCAAUUAAAAACAGUGC
This 1331-nucleotide long non-coding RNA is filed under the name Piliocolobus tephrosceles (Ugandan red Colobus). Its description in RNAcentral is "lncRNA (ENSPTEG00000019118.1)". Lineage: Eukaryota; Metazoa; Chordata; Mammalia; Primates; Cercopithecidae. The record is from RNAcentral.